AGGGGAGCAAUCCCUGAGUAAAGUGGCGACCGGGUGAGUAACACGUGACUAACCUACCCUCGAGUGUGGAAUAACAUCGGGAAACCGAUGCUAAUACCGCAUAACAUCGCAAGAUCAAAGGAGCAAUCCGCUUGAGGAGGGGGUCGCGGCUGAUUAGCUAGUUGGCGGGGUAACGGCCCACCAAGGCGAAGAUCGGUAGCCGGCCUGAGAGGGCGCACGGCCACACUGGAACUGAAACACGGUCCAGACUCCUACGGGAGGCAGCAGUGGGGAAUUUUGCGCAAUGGGGGAAACCCUGACGCAGCAACGCCGCGUGGAGGAUGAAGCCCCUUGGGGCGUAAACUCCUUUCGACCAAGACGAUAAUGACGGUACUGGUGGAAGAAGCACCGGCUAACUCUGUGCCAGCAGCCGCGGUAAUACAGAGGGUGCAAGCGUUGUUCGGAAUUAUUGGGCGUAAAGGGCGCGUAGGCGGCGCGGUAAGUCACCUGUGAAAUCUCCGGGCUUAACUCGGAGCCUGCAGGCGAAACUGCCGUGCUGGAGUAUGGGAGAGGUGCGUGGAAUUCCCGGUGUAGCGGUGAAAUGCGUAGAUAUCAGGAGGAACACCUGUGGUGUAGACAGCUUACUGGACCAUGACUGACGCUGAGACACGAAAGCGUGGGUAGCAAACAGGAUUAGAUACCCUGGUAGUCCACGCCCUAAACGAUGCAUACUUGGUGUGAGCCAUU
This 726-nucleotide ribosomal RNA is filed under the name uncultured bacterium. RNAcentral's name for it is "bacterial SSU rRNA". It matches the Rfam family "Bacterial small subunit ribosomal RNA", at positions 73 to 831 of the family's 1533-position model. The record is from RNAcentral.